UACGGAGGGUGCAAGCGUUGUCCGGAAUCACUGGGCGUAAAGCGCAUGUAGGCGGCGAUUUAAGUCGGGGGUGAAAUCCCAGGGCUCAACCCUGGAACUGCCUUCGAUACUAUUUUGCUAGAGUGUGGAAGAGGUUGGUGGAACUGCAAGUGUAGAGGUGAAAUUCGUAGAUAUUUGCAAGAACACCGGUGGCGAAGGCGGCCAACUGGUCCAUUACUGACGCUGAGAUGCGAAAGCGUGGGGAGCAAACAGG
This 253-nucleotide ribosomal RNA is filed under the name uncultured bacterium. RNAcentral's name for it is "partial 16S ribosomal RNA". It matches the Rfam family "Bacterial small subunit ribosomal RNA", at positions 524 to 776 of the family's 1533-position model. The record is from RNAcentral.